This is a non-coding RNA of Nelumbo nucifera (sacred lotus), 3182 nucleotides long. The record is from RefSeq and is a predicted model, not a curated record. Lineage: Eukaryota; Viridiplantae; Streptophyta; Magnoliopsida; Proteales; Nelumbonaceae.
AUUGAAUCAAGACAUGUUGGUUUUAAUUUUGACAUGAGAUAGACUGGUUCUAAAACUGAUGAUGUCGAGGCUGGUUUCCCAAGGUCCUGAUUGUGGGGGACUUCCAUGCCUAUGAGUAUUGAUUCUUCUCUUAGUAUAUACAAUUCAUGAGUCAGCAUUUGGUCCUAGUUAUGGUAUCAUUUUAUUGGUCAGUUUUGUAUCAGCUUUGAAUAACUGUUUUGGUUUCGUUGUUCUACAGGGAUAUUUGGGAAUUUCUAUUUUUAUGCUUUAAUCUUUUUUGGCAUGAGGUGGCUGCUCACAGACGUGAAACAUGCAUUCUCAUGCUUGUCAGCCCAAGGUUUUACUAUCAUGAUUGGUAAUUCUCAUCAAGGACCAUGUAGUUUUGAUAGGAUAUAAAGUAGUCAAAGUGGUCAAAUAGUCAUGGAAAAGCUAUAAUUCCACAUGUUAUCAGAGAAGUGUUGCAGCCCUCUGUCAUAUUUGCAUGCUGUCCAAUUGCAAUGGAAGUUCUUGUAUGUGAUGAAAUAUGAUGUGGCUGUCUGCAAUUGCACCACUUAAUCAACCUAGUCAUCCUUCCACAUUCACUUACAGUCAGUCUCACUAUCUGAUCUCUAUAGUCCAAUGCAUAUAAAUCCUAGAUGACAAUGGUCCACAGCUCCUAUAUUGUGGAUUUCACUUGUCUGCCUGUUCACUACUGGUUAGUCUCACAAUCUUAUCUCAACAGUCCAAUGCAUCAAAAUCCUAGAAGACAGUGCUUUUCAGAACCUCUAUUGUGGGUUUCACGUGUCUUUGGUUGAUUUUUGAAGUUUCAUUUUUUCAUGACCACCGGUAAUUUGCCAUUAUAUUGCAUCAGAAUCAGAACUACUCUUUCCAUUUUCAUUGGCAGUGGAAUAGUUAUUGUUCUUCAGAUUCGGUGAGUUGGUUCAUGAUUAUUGAGAGUGUUGAUAUAGAUGAAUCAUUUUUUUUUUUGCCUUAACUUUCGGUUAGGAUUCUUUUCUCAUUUGACAUUAAGUUAGUUUUGAUAUUUACUUUUGAUUUCACUCGGAUUGAGCAGUUUUAACAUCAGUGUUGGAUUUUUGAGUUGGCUUGCUUGUUAUUGACUGAGAUUUUUGGAUGAAUUUUCUGGUUUACAUAGACAAAUUACAGGUUCUUGUAUUGCUAUUUGGGAUUCAAAGGGUUGAUUUGAACUUGACAUGGCUUAUAUAUGCCUAAUUCAAAAGGUGGUUCUCAUGGCUGUUCAGAUUCCUAUUUAAAUUUUAUGCAUGAUGAUUGAGAACUACAUACAUCUAAAUCCAUUAGUUGACUUUUCAGGCGGACUGGGUUUUUUUUCUGGGCACAAGACAUUUCAGGUUUGUUGGUGGUUUUGGAGUAUUUUUUUCCAAUUAAAGUGGAUUUAAUUUGAAGCAAUCACAGUCAUUGCAGUAAAUUGGGUGGUAAGGAUUGGAUAUUAUCUGAGUGUCUGCUUGUCUGAGACCUCUAGUUAUAUCUUUGGUUUAUUCCUGAACUUAUUCAGGGUAAUUUAAUUAUUGUGGCAUAUAAAGUUAGACCAAAGUAAUCAUAGAAUAUCUCCUCUAGAUGCAUACUUUAUUGGAGGAAAUAUCUUGUAUCAGCUCUAUCCUGACAGCCACUUUGAAGCAACUUAAGCCUCAUAAUUGCAUAUUGUCCAGGUACAAUAGAAGUUCUUAUAUGGAAUGAAAAGUGACGUGGCUAUCUAAUAUCAGUUGUCCAUCCAUUCAUCCUCUGCCUAUUCACUUGCCAGUCAGUUUCACUACCUAUUCUCAAUAUUCCAAGUGCAACAAAAUUCUAGGAAAGCAAUGGCUUGCAACCCUUUUACUGUGGGUUUGAUCCGUCUUUUGUUAGUUUCGAACUCAAGAGAGGUUCUUGUUCCUUUUUGAUUGGCAGCAGAAAAUUAUUAUUGCUCUACAUAUACAAUGAGAUGGUACAUGGUCUUUUACUUUUGAGAAUGUUGAUAUUUCUUUUCUCAUUUUGAUUUCGAGUGUAUUGAUUACUGCUCUGUAGAUCUGAUGAGUCAGUACUUGGUUUUUGAGGGUGAUGAGAUAUCAGUGUUUUCCCUAUGUAUUUAGUUUGGAUUACUCUCUAGUAUAAUGAUUUUCAAGUUAGUGUUGGGCUUGUUUUGAUUUCUUCUUCUUUAGCAGCUUUUAAAUCAGCAUUACAUCUCUGAAUUGGUUUGCUUAUUAUUCUAGGAGAUUUGUGGAUACUUUUCUGUUUAUCCCUUGUUCUUAUUCUUAUCUUCUUUUCUUUCCUGAAAUUAUCCACUCCUUGAACCUAUCAGACAAAUUUCAGGUUCUAUUGUUAAUUCUCUGGUUCAGAAGGUUGAUAUAAGCCAGAUGGAGAUAACUAAUUCAUAGGGGAUUUUCAUGGUGCUAUUGAGUUUAGUCAUGUUUUGUACAUGAUUGAGAAGAUCUGGGUUUUUGAAUCCAUUUAUCAAGUUGUCAGGUGGACUGGGCAAAUUUGGUAGAGUGUGUUGGUUUGGUGACAUUCUGAGUUGUUUUUUUUUUGUACAAUUUGCCUUUUGCUAAUUUUAGCAGAUUUAAGUUCCACCAAUCUAUUACCUAUAAAACUAUUUUAUUUUUUGCUUAUUAAAAAAAAUCCUCGUGGUACUGACUUUGUUUGUCUGGGUUUGAUCUCUCUUUUGUUUUUGCAUUAGAUUGUAUCAGAAUCAAGAUCUACUCUCUUCCCAUCUGAGGGUGCUCAGAUGGUUGGGUUUGCAUUAGACUUCUCUUUGGAUUCUUAUCUGAUUUAAAGAAAUUUUAAUCAGUUUUCGAUGUCACUUCCUGAAUUUAUUAAUGCUUUAUUCUUUUAUGUGGGGAUUGUACAUUUUCAGGAUUCCUACGUUGAUUUAAACUAUAGAUGGAUAUAAUGAACAAUUUGCAGCUUGCUCCAUGAUUCAACCCAAAGCUUGUGGGGAAUUUUCAUUAAGGUCUGUGGUAGAUUCCAAUCCGCUUUGUAUGUGGGUCCUAUAUAUUAUGUAGUUUUUUGUUUUUUGGCAGUGGAUUUACUUUGCAUCUGCCACACUGAGAUUUUUGGGUUUGAGAUGUUAUUCAACUCUGUACUCCAACUUUUAUCUAGUGGAUUUGUACCUUCUCCGUGGACGUAUGCCAAAGGCCGAACCACGUAAACUUGUGUGUUGUGUUAUAUAUAUCUUCUCAUCAUCUUGUUUUUGC